RNAcentral lists this ribosomal RNA (600 nucleotides) under Shewanella xiamenensis. Its description in RNAcentral is "bacterial SSU rRNA". It matches the Rfam family "Bacterial small subunit ribosomal RNA", at positions 56 to 646 of the family's 1533-position model. Lineage: Bacteria; Pseudomonadati; Pseudomonadota; Gammaproteobacteria; Alteromonadales; Shewanellaceae. The record is from RNAcentral.
UGCAGUCGAGCGGCAGCACAAGGGAGUUUACUCCUGAGGUGGCGAGCGGCGGACGGGUGAGUAAUGCCUAGGGAUCUGCCCAGUCGAGGGGGAUAACAGUUGGAAACGACUGCUAAUACCGCAUACGCCCUACGGGGGAAAGAGGGGGACCUUCGGGCCUCUCGCGAUUGGAUGAACCUAGGUGGGAUUAGCUAGUUGGUGAGGUAAUGGCUCACCAAGGCGACGAUCCCUAGCUGUUCUGAGAGGAUGAUCAGCCACACUGGGACUGAGACACGGCCCAGACUCCUACGGGAGGCAGCAGUGGGGAAUAUUGCACAAUGGGGGAAACCCUGAUGCAGCCAUGCCGCGUGUGUGAAGAAGGCCUUCGGGUUGUAAAGCACUUUCAGUAGGGAGGAAAGGGUGAGUCUUAAUACGGCUCAUCUGUGACGUUACCUACAGAAGAAGGACCGGCUAACUCCGUGCCAGCAGCCGCGGUAAUACGGAGGGUCCGAGCGUUAAUCGGAAUUACUGGGCGUAAAGCGUGCGCAGGCGGUUUGUUAAGCGAGAUGUGAAAGCCCUGGGCUCAACCUAGGAAUAGCAUUUCGAACUGGCGAACUAGAG